Molecule: ribosomal RNA, 253 nt
Filed under: uncultured bacterium
Lineage: Bacteria
Description: partial 16S ribosomal RNA
Rfam family: Bacterial small subunit ribosomal RNA
Source: RNAcentral
UACGGGGGGGGCAAGCGUUGUUCGGAAUUACUGGGCGUAAAGGGCGCGUAGGCGGCUCUUCAAGUCGGGUGUGAAAUCUUCGGGCUUAACCUGGAAACUGCACUCGAUACUGCUGAGCUAGAAUGUGGAAGAGGCAACUGGAAUUCCGUGUGUAGCGGUGAAAUGCGUAGAUAUACGGAGGAACACCUGCGGCGAAGGCGGGUUGCUGGGCCAACAUUGACGCUGAGGCGCGAAAGCUAGGGUAGCAAACGGG